GUUUAUCUGCCGAGUUUUGUGCUUUGCACAAAACAUCGCAUUAUUGUAUGUAGUUUUGCAAAAGCAAAACUACUUGAAAAAACUUUUUUCAGGAUUUGAUAAUCCUUGCAAAAAGUUUUUAUGGG
This 125-nucleotide small RNA is filed under the name uncultured Treponema sp. Its description in RNAcentral is "TD-1 RNA". It matches the Rfam family "TD-1 RNA". Rfam says of the family: non coding RNA found in Treponema denticola Lineage: Bacteria; Pseudomonadati; Spirochaetota; Spirochaetia; Treponematales; Treponemataceae. The record is from RNAcentral.